GAUGAACGCUGGCGGCGUGCCUAAUACAUGCAAGUCGAGCGAACGGACGAGAAGCUUGCUUCUCUGAUGUUAGCGGCGGACGGGUGAGUAACACGUGGAUAACCUACCUAUAAGACUGGGAUAACUUCGGGAAACCGGAGCUAAUACCGGAUAAUAUUUUGAACCGCAUGGUUCAAAAGUGAAAGACGGUCUUGCUGUCACUUAUAGAUGGAUCCGCGCUGCAUUAGCUAGUUGGUAAGGUAACGGCUUACCAAGGCAACGAUGCAUAGCCGACCUGAGAGGGGGAUCGGCCACACUGGAACUGAGACACGGUCCAGACUCCUACGGGAGGCAGCAGUAGGGAAUCUUCCGCAAUGGGCGAAAGCCUGACGGAGCAACGCCGCGUGAGUGAUGAAGGUCUUCGGAUCGUAAAACUCUGUUAUUAGGAAGAACAUAUGUGUAAGUAACUGUGCACAUCUUGACGGUACCUAAUCAGAAAGCCACGGCUAACUACGUG
RNAcentral lists this ribosomal RNA (496 nucleotides) under uncultured bacterium. Its description in RNAcentral is "partial 16S ribosomal RNA". It matches the Rfam family "Bacterial small subunit ribosomal RNA", at positions 28 to 507 of the family's 1533-position model. The record is from RNAcentral.